This 63-nucleotide transfer RNA is filed under the name Magicicada tredecim (thirteen-year cicada). RNAcentral describes it as "tRNA-His". Lineage: Eukaryota; Metazoa; Arthropoda; Insecta; Hemiptera; Cicadidae. The record is from RNAcentral.
AUUCAAUUAGUUUAAAAUAAAACAUUAAAUUGUGGAUUUAAAAAUAUAAAUUUAUAUUGGAUC